Molecule: long non-coding RNA, 1295 nt
Organism: Salvia miltiorrhiza (redroot sage)
Lineage: Eukaryota; Viridiplantae; Streptophyta; Magnoliopsida; Lamiales; Lamiaceae
Exons: 3
Source: RefSeq, a predicted model, not a curated record
ACUGUUGAAGAUAAGCCCUCACCCUCGGCUGAAUCGAUUCUGGAAUUUGUUCAUCAAUCAAGAGCACAAUGAAAAGGUUAGGCUGAAUCGUGGUUAUAAUUAGAUUUGUGAUGUUAUGUGGAUUGUGAGUCAGCAUCAUCUACUUAGAAAUGUUGAUUGAUCUGAAGUUAGUGUUUGUUCCAUCAUCCAUGAGAGGGAAAUCUGUAGGCGAUAAAUUCCUUUACACUCAAAAGGAGGAGACUGCCAUCCUAGAGAACAAGUUGAGUCGGGAAAUAGACUAUACACUUACAAAAUUGAGAUGAUUUCUGAAUAAUAAAAUUCAAAUUAUUUGAAAUUCUUGUGAACCCAUCAAAGCCAUCUGGAGCUAUUGGUUCUGCCAAGGAAUCUGAAAUGGGAAGAUUUGAUCAAUAUUUAUGAGUUUGAAUUAGGCAUUUAACCCUUUACCAUUGAUGUGGAAGUUGAUAUGUUUGGAUGUUAGAAUUAGGGCUGGUUAAACGGUUCCGGUUAUCCGGUUAAAACCGUAACCGAACCGAAAAAACCGGUUAUCGGUUAACCGAUAACCAAUUUUUUAUCGGUUCGGUUCGGUUACCGAUUAGUGUCUCCAUCGUUAACCGGUUAAUCGGUUUAACCGGUCGGUUAACCGGUUAAACCGAUUAACCGAUUUUUUUUAUUAAAUUAAUUAAUUAAUUAUAAUAUUAGAGAAUAUAAUAGAACUAGGGCUGGGGGGGGGGAGAGUACGCUCAAAAUUCUGAUUUCUGAAAUCUCAACCCCGUUCCCACCCGUCUGGCCGUUUCUCUGCCGUCUCAAAUCUCAGCCUCUCCGGCCCCCACCGGCGCCGCGCCGCGCCGCCGCAGCCGCAGCCUCCCAGAGCCCAGGCCGCAAGCUCGCAAGUCGCAGCCGUCUCCGUUCAGCCCAAGCCGCAUUUUCGCAGCUCCUCCCAGGCUCCCAGUCGUCUCCGGCGGCCUCGACUUCGCAGGCUCUUGAAAGACAAUUGGUAGAAGUUGCAGCACACGUCAGCAGCACUGAGCACAAAUUCAGACAAUUUGUUGAUGAAUUUGUGAUGAAUUAUAAAGAAUUUGUGUUGGAAUUUUAUUAUAAAGAAGGAGUUUGAAUCGGUUUUGACACAACUUGGGAUGAGUGGAGGACAUGGAGUUCGUGGAGAAAGUAGUGGAGAUGUUUCUAAUCAGACAAGCCGAAGUGUCUUACCGUGAAUCCAUUUCUUUGUUGUUGGUGUUGACUGUUGAACUUUAGACUUGUGUUACUUUAUAUUAUGUUAUGUUUGUUGCUUUGUUGGU